AGGGUGGGAAGGGCAGGGAAAAGGAACAUAAAGGAAAAUAUGUUGGCACCUAGUAGCUGAAGGAGGGAGAGAAGGGUGUGCCAGGGAACGAGGGGGCGGGUGUGGAAAGACGAGGCCUGGGUGCUGAUGACAGCCUUCCCUGACUCCACCAGCUUGCCAAGACCCAGCCCUAGAUCCCAGAGGGGUCACAGCUGAGGUCCCCCCUCCAGAAGCCACUACCUUUCAUUUUCUUGCUCCCCAGUCUCUGUGCCCAGAAUCACUGUCUGCCAGGCUCUGGCCAACCUGUAGCCUCUCCGUGCUGAAAACGACCCGCUAAAAAAGCCAAGAGGGAAGGACCCAGCACACAGCCGUGAACCACAUAUACACGAAGAGGGCCUAAAGUGAAAAAGAUAAACUUUAAAUCAAACGGAAACUUUUUCCAGCAACUUCCACUCUUGUGAUACUGAACUGAACUGAAGCAGAAGAUUUUAAGAGUUGCCUGAAUCCUUUGGACCUGCUUAUUGGCUUAAAAAGUCUAAUUGUGAAAUUGACUUAAAAAUUCCUAAUUGUGAAAGAAGGGGUCUCUUCUUUGGCAUGGCACUCUCACUAACAAUUUUCUUGGUAAGAGGACCCAACAAACAGCAAUAGAAAUAGAAAACUAUGGAUUGCUAGGUGAGAGUAUUUUUUAACCUGCUUCAAUCUACAACUGCAAAAUGAACUGGCCCAAUUUAAUUAGAAAAAUUUCAGUUUCUGACCACUGAUCUACAUUACUGAAAGGUUACAUGUGAAAUAAAUGUGGGGUGUGUGUGUGUGUUUGUGUCUGAAAUUGAAUCAUUUUCUAACUCAUUCACUAUAAAAAAGAAAUAGACGGGAUCAUUUGAACUCUGCCUUUGCAAUUUAUCAUCUUCGUGAUCUUAGACAAUCUCUUAAUUUCUCUAAGCUUCCACUUUCUCCUCUAAAAUGGAGUUGAACUCAAAGGGCUGACCUAAAGUUUACAUAAAAUGAGAAAAUGUAAGGUACUGGGGCUGAUACAUAGACAGUAUUCAAUAAAGCUUUAUG
Molecule: long non-coding RNA, 1038 nt
Filed under: Homo sapiens (human)
Lineage: Eukaryota; Metazoa; Chordata; Mammalia; Primates; Hominidae
Description: HSALNT0135537
Source: RNAcentral